This 44137-nucleotide long non-coding RNA is filed under the name Malus domestica (apple). Its description in RNAcentral is "long non-coding RNA (MDOM_LNC016524)". Lineage: Eukaryota; Viridiplantae; Streptophyta; Magnoliopsida; Rosales; Rosaceae. The record is from RNAcentral.
GUCCUGGUGGUCCUCUCUUCGGUGGCUCAUCACCUGGCUGUCCUGGUUUGUGCUCUGGUGGCGGCUUCUCAAACCCUGGAUCCUCAGUGUGCUCUUGGGGUGGCUUUUGUCCCUUCGGGGGCUCAUUGUGCCCUUGUGGUGGCUUUUGUCCCUUUGGAGGCUGAUUGUGCUCUUGAGGUGGCUUUUGUCCCUCGGGAAUUUUGCCUUCCACCUCUAGCAAGUGGUGUUCAUUGUGCGGUGGCUUGUGCUUGGGUGGAGGCCUCUCUCCUUUGCCCUUGAGGGGCUCGUUAUGUUGGGUUGGGGGCUUCUUCUCUGGGAAUGGGAAAGGCUCUUCCUUGUUAAGUGGGGUUGGAGUCUUGUGAUUUGGUGGGUUGUGGGAAGGAGGCUUUUGAAUUGGGGGUUUCAGGGCAAGAGAAGGAGUUGAAGUGGUGAAAACCACCACUCCGACAAGAAAAACUAGCAAGUAAUUGGGAGACAUCUUUAGACUCUUAUGUUCUAGGAUGGUUGGAAACUAGUAGAAGUGAGUGGCUUUUUAUAGUGAUGGGGCAGCACUGUGGUCAUGGCACAUGUCACCAUGCACUUGGAUUUUUUUUUAAUGAAAUGUGUGGACUCGUUGAAUUUUGUAUGGUUUGGUUUUUAUUAUGUUUGUACAAUUUUAUAUAUGAGGAGGGGUCCAUUUAGGGUCCUAUUUGAGUUGAAAUGUUUGACAACUUUUACGUUCAAACCAGAUAGGGGACCUGUAGGAAAGCUAAAUUACACGACUUAGCGUUCACAACCCACAUGGAGUCAGUGACCUGGUACUCUAGCAUCACUGAUCGAUAUUAUAUUAGAGUUUUAACUUUAGAAAGAACAAGACAAAUGGAAAAUAUAGCAACUUGCUUUUGAAAGUUUUUCUUUUAAACAAGUUGGAGAGAUUUUUACCAUCACACGGGAUAGUACACCACGUGUCGUUAUAUAAACGGUGAGCUAAGUGUGUUAAAAAGUUAAUAACUUUAAAAAAAAAUAUUCCACCACUUACAUAAAAUCACAUGAUAUAUCAUUCGUGUUCUUGUCAUAUCUAAAAAUUUCUCUACAAGUUAGAGAAAACAAUGUUACUUUCUUUUCGAAAUAAGUUCGAACUAAAUGGCCGUCUAUAUUCCUGCAUAUAGCCGACUGUAUAUGCACAAAUACUUUUCAAGUUUUCUCUUCCAUAAACUAGAAAUAUUGACUCAAAUAUUUUACGUUAAUGCUAUAAAAAUAUUGAGCUAAUGAUUUAGUAAAACAAACAAUCCUUUGUAAAGUUAUUCACAUACAAAUUAUAUAUUAGUCCAUCGAAUUGCAGUAUAUAUCUCGAAUAUAAAAGAGAUUCACUUCAGCAAAUUUAGAGACUUAUACCAUGUUAACAGACUAUAGCGUAGACCAAAUUGUUGUAAGAAAUGGUACUCUUUCUUUUUGUUCUAUUCCAACGAUAUAUAUGAUUUUACUUAAUCUAAAUGACAGAGACGUGGACUCGAGUGUGAAACACAAAACAUAUUCUUCCUUUUUCAAGCCGAAGCUCAUUGAUUGGAUGAUAAUUAGUGCCGCCUUCAAUUGUUUAAAGACACGGUUUAUCAAGCUGUGACAAGAUUGAGUGUGGCUUUUGGUUCUUUUUCACGUAGUGAUUCAUGAUGCUGUCUUAUUAUAUGCUAUCCAACAUUUAGCGGCUCCCAUAAUCACUUUAAGGAAAUAAAUUAUGGAAACUAAAUUCACUUUUGGAAAAAGCUAGCAUGAUAAAUUAAUUGGAUAAAUUCAUCAGUCCACAGAUUUUGCUUGUUUCUACGAAGAUCUUCUGUAUUCGGUGGAAAGAUGGACGAUAUUUUACCGACUAUAUAUUUUAUUUGUUUUAAGUUUUCUUGUUAAUUACUACUAAUCCCUAUAUCAGCGAGCCCGCAAUGGUCUUUCUCCUUUUCGCACUUAGGAUGACGACCUGUAUUUAAUGUUGAUAUAAACGACACUAAAUCGUAAGUUGUUUUGGUGCAUAGUUUAUGUUGCUAGAAAGCAGCUAUCUAGUUAAAGCAGAGGCUGGCAUGAUUUCACGUAAACGACAUUAAUCACUUUCAAGAACCGGUGUCAAGAUUAUAAGAGUUGAGUGUAUCUGUGGUACUUAAGUGUUUUACAAGUUUUGUCAAGAGCAUUGAAAUCUUUUCCUUUCUGUUAUGUGAAUUGCGAAUGAUUGAAGAGAGAAAAUCUUAGUACCCAUUUAAAUGGAGGAAUUCCAAAUCUAUGGAUUUUUUGAUAAAAUUAUAAGAUUAAUUAAAUUGGUUGUUUCAACUAUUACAAUCAUUAUAUGCAACUAUUUGAACAAGUGAAGAAAGAAAACAAGUGAGUUUUAAAUAAUUCCUUGCAUAUUGUUAUUUCAAAUUCAUUUAAACGUACUACUUUGUGUAUAGAUGUAAUCUUAUUUGUCAAUUCCAAAACGUUUCUUUUAACUUCUUCCAUGCAAAGAGAGAGCAUUUUGAUACUCCUCUUCCAUUCUUAAAGGGUUUCCACAACUCGAAGCCUCUGGGCCAGUCAAAAAAUGCAGAGAAGUUAAAAGUCAAAUGGUACAUGUAUCUUCCGUGAUAUAGAUGCAACAUGAACGAAUUUUCCUUUUGUUUGUUUUCGGGUUUAUAUGGGUGCGUUUGCAUGUGCAUGCAUAUAUAUGUUGUCGGUGUAGUGACAUUGUGUGAAAACAUGAAAGCAGUUGUAUGAGUCAUGUGGCUGCUUUUGCUACAGGAUCUGAAGAAAAUUCUCAGAGUCACCUCGCCAUGUAAGGUUACUAAUUUAUUUAUGCUAUAACAUUUAUGUCCUUAUUCAAAAUUAUAUUCUCUAGGUCCCUAAUAUUCAUCAAUUAUGUUAUUCAUGUAGAUGGUUUAGUAGCACAUUGGGAUAGUGUCACACUAGGGUUUCGUAGCACAUUGGGAUAGUGUCACACUCUGGUUUAGUAGCACAUUGGGAUAGCGUCACACUAGGGUUUAGUAGCACAAUGUUAUUCACAUAGAUGGUUUAGUAGCACAAUGGGAUAGUGCCACACCACAAAGUUCAUGAUGAAGAGAUUUUUUAUUUGUCGCCGCUUCACCUAGAGGUCACAAAUCAACUUAUUGGUUAUUAAUAGAUACUUAUUAAGACUCAUUUAGUUUAAUUUCAUCUUACAUUAUCGUCACCACUACCAAUUUCAUCUCUAUAUUAUAGUGAUAUCAAAUUAAACAGCUCUUAAAGGGUACCCGUUAACAAUCUAAUGGAUUGAUUAGCCGCAUCUAACUUCACCAAGUAGCUAGAGUUAUCAUAACUUACAACUAUAACACAUGCAUACUUAUUUAUUAAGGAAAACUAAUGAAAAUGACUUGAAAACUUUAAGUUUUAAUCAAAAUGACAAAAAUGUGUUGUAAGUGAAUAGUACCAUAAGUGACUUUUUAAAGUAAAAUAUUAUUUUAGUUAAAAGCGAAUAGUACCGAAAGUGUUUCAUUAAAACUCUCUAUUUAUUAUAUUAAUCUUAAGUUCCAAAUUAAUCAUUUAUCAUGUUAUUUAUACAGCCUACAAAAUUACAUGAAUUAGUAACAUAGUCACAAUACAAAGUUUCUGAAGAUUCUCUUGGGCAAUUUUGUACCUAGCCUUUCAACGUGUGGGACAUCCUGUUGACUCUUUGUAUAACUACCCUAGUCAGUGAGACGAAGCCAGAUUUUUAUGCAUUUCACAACAUAAAGCAUAACAUAGUAUCAAGGCAUGCAUGUGGACACAAUUAAGUAUUCCGUUAUAUUUUGCAGGAGGUUUUGUACUGGUCCUCGCAUACAUGUUCACGAGCUGUAUAUAAAGUCGACAUUAUGAUGAGAUCCCUGGUUGAUCUCUGCGGCUCCGCUGACAUGUUCUUCACAGCUUAGGGUAUUGACAAAGAUAAAAUAUAGUUGCUUUUUCUUUAUUUUUAUACAAGAGCUAGUGUGGUGAAAUUGAACUCUAGCACAUCCGGUUCACAUGAAAUAUUUUUAACCAAAUAAGCUAUGUGUUUAUACCAUAUUUAGGACCUCGUACUUAGAUCUCGUACAAAUACUCGGAGAACUUAAAUGUAAUUAUGUGAUAAAGGAAUGGGCAAAUAUGUAAAAAGUGAGGAGUCCUUAUUCUAUAAAACGACUUCUCACCCUCACAAUUAGGAGAGGCCAAUUCCUAGGCUCUCUCACCCCCUCUCAAAGCUCUCACUCUCAGAGCUCUCUCUCCCUCAGAAAUAUAUUAGUGUGGACGUAGCCCAAACCUUGGGGUGAACCACGAUAUACCUUGUGUUAUUUACAUUUCAUGUAGAUUCACUGUCGGAUUUACGUUGUUCCAAGACCUCCGGUUUUGUGCACCAACAUUUGGCGCCGUCUGUGGGAAACGACACAGAAAGUUAUGUCGGUUCUCUCUCAAUUUUUCACCUCCGCCAUGGAUCUGCAAAAUCUGCAGAAACAUCAAACCAAAAUCCCAGUCCCAUCUCUCUCUCUUUCUCUAGAAACCCAAAAAUGGGUAAGCAGAACAGACACAUACUCUAGCUCUCUCUCUCUCUCUCUCCUUUCUCCAUUAAAACCAUUCAACACACUCUCUCUCUACAUUUUUGGAAAGAGAAAGUGGACAAAGAUCGAAAUUUUUUCGGGUUUACUGAGAUGCUUCGUUCAGAACUACGACUGGGGGAAGAGGAGACAAGAUUCCCAAGUGGCCAGGCUAUCUGCUUUUAACUCUGGUUCUGGGAUCAACCCAGAAAAAUCAUGUGCUGAAUUUUGGAUCGGAACCCAUGGGUCCAGACCUUCCUUUCUGAUUCAUAAGGGCUCGCUCCAUCUCUCCAACUUCCCCUACCAGCUCAAACGACGUCGUCUAGCUCCACCAUUUCCCCUUCGUUAUCGUUUCCUCAUCCCACUCCUGGUCUCGCCGUGAGCUUAAGCUCCGCCCCUGGAGCUCCCCCGCCUCCACCCGCGUCUUCGCUUUCCUCAAUCGCACCCUCACAGAUUCCUCCGGCGACCAAUCCAUCGCGAAUGUCGUCGUCUCCGGUGACACCUCCCGCUUUCUGUACACUCUAAAAGGAGGGCUACGGUCCGCGUUCCUUGUGGCGCGCGCGAUCAAGGAAGCAGUUGAUCGUGGCGAGCCUGAUGAAAAAUAGCAAAAUACCAACAGAAAAAGCAGGAGAGAGAGAAAGAGAUAGAAGAGAAGGAUGAUCUGUCCAUAUGGUGGUGGGUGCAUUGUGGUUUGGUCCAGGAGAGAUUUGAUCUGAGGGUUGAAGAUAACCCAGCUUUGGCAGCUGCAGUGAGAGCAUGAGGUGUUGUUUGUGUCUUCAUCUGGGCUCCUGAGGAGGAAGGCCCUUAUUAUCCUGGAAGGGUUUCAAGAUGGUGGCUAAAACACAGCUUGGCUCAUCUUGAUUCCUCCUUGAAAAGUCUCGGCACUUUUCUCAUCACCAAAAGAUCCACUGAUAGUUUUUCUUCUCCCCUUGAAGUUGUUGUUUCCACUUCUCCCCCCUGAGAGAAUUAUUUCAGUUCAUGUUAACCAAUUAUUUCAUGUUAACCGAAGUGUGGAUCUUAAGGCCGGCAGAAUGCUCUCUUUGCUCUUGGAAAUUCCCAGAUUCUCUUCUUCUCAGACCAAAGGAAGGUGACUUUUUGCGGGUUAGGAACAAUUCCUUUUACUCAUGUGUUUUGAUGGGCACGAGGAGUGAGAAUGGAUGGGCACGACCAGACUGUCCAAGAAAAGCAAAAAAGGUGCAAGCUGUCACCAAUAAGUCAUAUUCGUUGGUUCAAGCAAGGCAAAAGCAACAAAGGUGCAGAGAUCAAGAAAAGCAGAAAAGCAGUGGGGAACAAAGCAGAAAAGAGAAAGCAAAAGUGAGGAAUAAACACCCCACCAAAAUAAUGUGAUUUACUUUUGUUAUUUCUGAAUGAUGUAAUUUAUUUUCCGUAUCUUUUGGAGAUAUCUGUAUAAACCCCAUCAGAAGGUAAAAGAACGGCAAAGCCCAAAAUAAAUGGGCUGGAAUAUUGUGUGGAGAGCGAAGGCCCAUAAGCCUAAAAUAGCACCAACCAGGUCAUCAAAAGUACACCCAGUACUCCACAAUUAUUCGGCAACCCGCCGCUAUUACCAUCAACCAGGUGAUCAAAAGUACGCCCAGUACUCCACAAUUAUUCGGCAACCCGUCGUUAUUAUCGCCAACCAGGUGAUGAAAUAUACAACCCGUACUCUAAUAUCAUUUGACAACUAGCCAUUCAUGCCACCAACCAGGUGAUGAAAUGUACAACCCGUACUCUAAUAUCAUUUGGCAACUAGCCAUUCAUGCCACUAACCAGGUGAUGAAAUGUACAACUCGUACUCUCCUUCAUGCCACCAACCAGGUGAUCAAAAGUACGCCCAGUACUUCAAAACAUACAUGAGCAUUACUCAUGUCAAUCAUACAUAAACAUUCAUGAGCAUUACUCAUGUCAAUCAUACAUAAACAUUCAUAAGCAUCACUCAUGUCAACAUCUAUGAGCAUCACUCAUGUCAAUCAACAUAAACAUUCAUGAGCAUCACUCAUGUCAAUCAACUUCAAAAGCUUCAUUUACAAAAGCUCUAGCUUCAAAAACUUCAUUUACAGAGCUCUAGCUUCAAAUUCAUUUACAAAAGCUCUAGCUUCAAAAGCUUCAUUUACAGAGCUCCAGCUUCAAAAUCUUCAUUUACAGAGCUCCAGCUUCAAAGCUUUACAUGCAAAGCUUCACCUACAAAGCUUCAGUGCAGGGUAUACAAAUACCACCUCCGAACAACCGCCACUUCGGCCCAUACAUGGAUUCAAUUUGAAGUCUCCAGCCAAUAGACUCUAUUGACCGAAGACUUGGGGGACUAAACUAUACACCAUAUAUUGGGCCUCAACUGGGCCUUAUGAAAAAUACUUGCAAGACUCUCUCACCAUCAUUAGAGAGCAUCAACUUUAGCAUAUUAUUCAUGUAUUGAGAAACGAGCCAUUAUUCUAUAAAAGGGACUCCCUCACCAUCAUUAGAGAACAUCAACUCUAACACAUUAUUCAUGUAUUGAGGAGCGAGCCCUUAUUCUAUAAAAAGGGCUCACUUACCAUCAUUAGAGAGCAUUGCUGCCUAUUGAGCAACCGCCUUGCCGCGAGCAUCAACUCUAGCCCAUCAUUCAUGUAUUGAGGAGCGAGCCCUUAUUCUAUAAAAGGGACUCCCUCACCUUCAAACGCCACAAAGCAGAGCCAACCAAGGUAACAUAAGCCACAAGCCAAGCAGCCUCGCAGCGUAUGCUACUUCUAGUUGAACAUCAUUUCAGAUUGAGCACCGCCUCAUAUCGAGCAUCAGUUCAAGACAACAUCUAGUUACUUCGGCCCACACAUGAACUGAAUUUCAAGUCUCCAGCCAAAAGACUAUCUUGACUGAAAACUUGGGGGACUACUGUUUAUACCAUAUUUAGGGCCUCGUAUUUAGAUCUCGUACAAAUACUCGGGGGACUUAAAUGUAAUUAUGUGAUAAAGGAAGGGGCAAAUAUGUAAUAAGUGAGGAGUCCUUAUUUUAUAAAAUGACCCCUUACCCUCACAAUUAGGAGAGGCCAAUUCCUAGGCUCUCUCACCCCCUCUCAAAGCUCUCACUCUCAGAGCUCUCUCUCCCUCAGAAAUAUAUCAGUGUGGACAUAGCCCAAACCUUAGGGUGAACCACGAUACACCUUGUGUUAUUUACAUUUCAUGCAGAUUCACGGUCGGAUUUACGUUGUUCCAAGACCUCCGGUUUUGUGCACCAACACUAUGAAUUUCUUAUAAUAUUAUUAUUAUAUAUUGUUAAAAUUUUAGAAAGGCGAGCCUAAUGGUUUAACACUAAUAUUGUUCCCAAGUUAAUAAUUUGUAGCUUAAGAGCUGUAAGAUUUUUUUCUAAAGACCUUGGCGUAUUUAGGAUAAAACUUUUUGUAUUUAAUUUGUAAUAUUUUGUCAAAUCUCCAAUGUGGGAUUUCCACGCUACCUGACAUGGAACCAUAUCUUCAGUCUGCCACACGUGAAGAGAACUUCCAUAUUGGGAAUGGAAAGACAAGCACGUGAAUGUUGAAUAUAAGUCCCACAUCGGAGAAUUAAUAUAUAAGUAUAUGAGUUCACUCCUAAUAAUAUAGAUGCCUUUGUGAUAAAACUCAACAGCCAGUAAUAGGUGAUUAAGUUAGGAUAAUAUUGGUGUGGUUAGGAGUGGGCCAGUGGCCAGUCUCCUUGAUGAUCGGACAUGGUACCAAAGCAGGUUUGAUUAUGAGUCAUCUGGGUGUCAUGCUUGAGUUAUUGUGCUUAAUGUAACACCAUUAAUCUCUGAUGUGGGAUCGGUUGCACUUGUGGCCCACUAUAUUUUGAUCACAUGGGAGGGGGCGUGUUGAAUAUAAGUCUCACAUCGGGAGAUUAAGUAAAUAAGGUAUAAUAAGUGUGUGAAUUCACUCUUAAAAACACCGAGGCCUUUUUUGAUAAACCUAAUACUUAGUAAUAGGUGAUGAAGAUGAGACAAUAUUGGUGUGGUUAGGGGUGGGCCUGUGGCCUGUUUCUCUGAUUAUUUGACAAUGAAUAUCACGCACUCAAAACAAACCAAUAAUGGGAUCCAGAAAAAGUACAAACUGUUGUAGGCCUAUUUGAUUGAACUAAUCUAAGGGAUUACAGAGAGAUGGGGUUGGCGGUAGCAAGAUGGAAGAGAGAGAUUUAAUUGUGAGGUGUGUGUUGUAUCACCCCUAUUGUGCCUUUAUUUAUAGUAGUAGGAUAGGCAAAACCUUACCCUUUUAGGAUUACAACUCUUAAUAGGUAAUCAACUCCUAAUAGGAAUAUAAGAGAUAUUUCUAGAUCUACUAGGGUUUACACAAUCACAUUCCUAUUCUAAAUAUGACUGCAACACUCCCCCUUGAAUGUGUAAAUACUCAACAAACCAUCGCAUUAGAUCUUCAGCAAAUAAGGUAGAAUAAUUGAUGAAGUAAUCGGCAUGAUGGGUGAACGCGAGUCUCAAAUUUAAAGAAAGUAUGCAUUGGUGGUAAAACUUAGAAAACCUCGCUAUGGUAAAACCUAAGACAUGGGGAAAACCCAUAGACUAAGGAGAAAAGUGAAAAGUAUGAAUAAUGUCCAAAACAAAUGUCAAACAGGACGAAAGUAGUGAACUCAAUGGAGUAUGAUCAUCCUAGGAUGGGUGCCUUGUCAAAAGUGCGUUAAGUAGCAAAAACGCAGUGGGAAAAAUGCUCCUAAUCAUAGGAAAAAGAGCACAUUAAGAUCAAGUGAGUAUGCCUCAGGAUACUCCCCCUGAGUUAGAAAUAACUUCCAAAUAAGAAAACUGCAAGCGAUUCAACUCAGAUAAUUUACGCAUACCGAUUCCUUGGACGAGCUUCUGAAAAGUAGACUUGGGCAAUGACUUGAUGAAGAGAUCGGUCAUGUUGUCUUGGGAACGUAUUUGCUUGACUGCAAUGUUUUGAUGUUGUUUCUGGUGAGAGUAAAAGAACUGCAACGCUAUGUGCUUGGUGUUGUCUCUCUUGAUGUAUCCCUUCUUUAACUACUUGAUACAUGUUGCAUUGUCUUCAAAGAUUGUCGUAGGAACGUCAACAACAAAAGUAAAACCACUACUGCUUCGAAUAUGUUCCAUAACUGCUCUCAGCGAAAAACACUCACACGAUGCUUCAUGCAGGGCGAGAAUCUCAGUAUGGUUCGAAGAAGUCGCAACUAGCGUUUGCUUGGUAGACCUCCAAGAUAUAGCGGUGUCUCCAAAGGUAGAGACAUAGCCCGUUUGACAACGUGCCCUAUGUGUGUCAGACAGAUAUCCAACAUCUACGUAACCAACAAGAAUAGAAUCAAUCCGAGAACCAUGAGAGGCGGCAACACUCAAAGAUUCACGGGUAUAGAACAAGCUCAAAUAUGUAGUACCCUUAAGGUAGCGAAAAAUGUCUUUAACACCAUUCCAGUGUCUGUGUGUGGGUGUAUUGUUGUAUCUAGCCAAAAUAUUAACAACGAAGGAGAUGUUGAGUCUAGUGCAUUGAGCUAAGUACAAUAGAGCCCCAAUUGCACUUAGGUAAGGAACUUCGGGUUCCCAAAUCUUUUCCUCAUCCUCCUUUGGAUGGAAGGGAUCUCAUUUAGCAUAAAGUUUGAAUGGCCAUAGACGUACUUGAAGACUUCGCUUUAUCCUCAUUAAAACGUCGCAACAAUUUUUGGGUGUAGUUCGAUUAAUGUACUAGGAUUCCAUCUGAACAAUGCUAGAUCUCCAGACCGAGGCAAUAUCAAGUUUUCCUAAGAUCUUUCAUCUCAAAUUAUGAUUUCAAGUGUGUAGCAAUUUCCUCAAGCUCUAUAGGAGUUCCAAAGAGGUUCAUGUUGUCAACAUAAACUACAACAAUUGCAAAUCCAGAAUGUGGCUUCUUUAUGAACACACAUAGGCAUAAUUCCUUGUUCACGUAACCCUGACUUGUCAAUUAUUCACUCAGACAGUUAUACCAUAUCCGCCCGGAUCGUUUCAAUCCGUAGAGUGACCUAUUCAACCUAAUUAAGAGAGUGUUUCUUGGUCUAUAACUAUUUGAACCAAUCCAUGGAAGUCCUUCUGGAACUUUCAUGUAUAUUUUCUUAUCUAGAUCCCCAUAGAGAUAUGCAAUUACCACAUCCAUAAGCUGCAUAUUCAAUUUUUUGGAAACUACCAAAUUUAUAAAGUAGCAGAACGUUAUAACAUCCAUUAUGGGGGAAUAAGUCUCCUCGUAAUCAAUCCCAAGGCAUUGAGAGAAGCCUUAUGCUACAAGGCGUGCUUUGUAUUGCACUAUUUCAUUAUUCUCAUUACGCUUCCUCACGAAAACCCACUUGUAGCCAAGGGGCUUCACAUGUGGUGGUGUAGGAACGAUAGGCCAAAAUACUUUACGUUUCGCGAGCGAAUUGAGUUCGACCUGGAUUGCUUGUUUCCAGUUUGACCAAUCUGUUCUACGUUGGUAAUCAUCAACGGAACGUGGUUCAAUGUCAUCGCUAAGCAUGAUGUCAGUAGUUACUGCGUACGCAAGUGCAUCGUCAACAAUCAUCUCAUUCUGAUUUCAAACCUCAUCCAAUACUGCGUAGUGAACCAAAAUCUCAUGAUUCUCGAGAAGCCGGGUUGUCUCGUCUAAGACAUUGUCGUAAUUUAGAAUAACCUUAUGCGUUGGAACGGAUGAGUAAGCAACGGUCGGAUUCAAACUAGGGUCACUAGUUGGUGCCGUUUUCCUCUUCCAGGGUUGUGAAUUCUUUAAACCAAAGGGUCUGCCACACUUCAGGGUUGAAGCAGAUGAUUAGCUAGCCACCAAUUUACAGUGCCACGUGGAAAGUGCGGCCUCCCCACCUUCGAGGACGAUCCAACCUUCCCAGCCGGUUGUUGACGUACGCGAGGUACAUCUAUCCUUGCAGGUGCGUUUGCAACGGGUAUAUGUGAUCUUGUCACCUUAGCUAGAUCAUUAAAACAAAUGGCAUGCUCUAAGCAAUGCUCUGAAGAUCUAUAAUUUGUUGCACCUCAGUUUCAGACUGGGCAGUGCAAGGAUCUAAAUGAGACAUAGUGGGAGCAUACCAUGACAAUUCGCGGUGUUCUCUAGGAACGUUAGCAUGCUUAUCUCCCCUUAACGACGGGAAGACUGUCUCACAAAAGUGACAAUUCACAAAACGUACGGUAAAGAGGUGUCAUGUCAAGGGUUCUAAAUAGCGAACAAUUGAUUGCGAAUCAUAACCAACAUAGAUUCCCAUUUUUCUCUGAGGACCCAUUUUGGUACAUAGUGGCGGCUCUAAUGGCACAUAAAUUGUGAACUCAAACACCCAUAAAUGCGAGAUGUCGUGCUCGUAACCAACUGUAACGGUGAAUGAUCUUGGGUAGCAUUGGACCUCAGGCAGGCCAAUAUAGCUGCGUGCAAUAUUGCAUAACCCUAGGUAGAUACCGGCAAUUUGGUUCUCAUAACCAAAGUCUGAGCUAUCAAUUGAAUGCGCUUUAUGAAACCUUCUGCCAGGCCUUUUUGAGUGUGAACAUUGGGUACAAGAGGUUCCACAUCAAUCCCUACUAACAUGUAAUAAUCAUCAAAAGUCUGUGACGUAAACUCUCCAGCGUUAUCCAGUCGAAUCGACUUAAUCGGAUAAUCAGGGUGGUGAGCCCUUUACUUAAUAAUUUGUGCUAGGAGUUUAGCAAAUGCAACGUUGCUUGUAAACAACAGGCAAACAUGUGACCAUCGUGUCGAUGCAUCAACCAACACCAUAAAGUAUCUAAAUGGUCCACAUGUUAGUUGGAUAGGUCCACAAAUAUCCCCUUGAAUCCUCUGAAGAAAUUUGGGGGGGGGGGGUCUUGAAUGAUCCUUUGUAAUCAAGAGUUGAGUAUUCAACUUCCAUAAAGACCACGCUUUGCAUGGCAGGAAUCCAAUAUAAGGAGGUAACCGAUGCUAAUGUGAUGAUUUAAGGAUAUGGCGCAUCAUGUCACGUUCGGGAUGUCCCAAAUGGUCAUGCCAAAACAGUAUAGUGCUCUGGAAGUAAGGCAUAGGGCUGGCCACAUGAUAGGCUUCUAUGCUGCGAAUGGUUGUGAUGUACAACCCACUCGGGAGACAUUCCAACUUUUCGUGAAUACUCUUCUGGCCAUAUUUGUACGAAGUAAUACAAAGAAAUUCAGAACCAUUAUCUUCAGUGGUUUCAAUAUGAUAUUGAUUAUCUCGAAUAUCUCUAAAACUCAUAAACGUUCUUCCGGAACGUGGAGAAUAGAAUGCCUCUUUAAUGGUUAAGAUUGUACCAUUGGACAACAUGAUACAUGCCUUUCUGCAUCCUUCAAUCAUGUUGGAUGGACCUGAAAAAGUUGUCAGAGGUGCUUUCUUGGGUAUUAAGUUAGUAAAAUAACGUCGCUCACGCAAGAUUGUGUGCAUGGUAGCACUAUCAACUAGACAACUAACUUCCCCACUAGACAUACCUAGAAAUAAAUUGAUUGAAUUGGUCACAUGCAUAAAUAUAAUCCAUUCAUUCAAUUAAGAAAUUCGAGAAAUAAUAUCCAUCAAAUAACAAUCCAUAAUUCAAAACAAACCAAAACCAAAACCAAACAAAUUAUUCAAAAGACUUAGAAAAAUUGUUCAAAAUUAAAUCAUAAACCUAAAAAAAUAGGGGAGAGGGGCCGGCCACUCCUAGUGGGUUCAGCCACUAGGGGUAAACACUUUAAAAACAUGUCUAAUGUAUUCGUCCAUAGGCAUGACCGCCUCAUGAAAAUCCGAUAUCUCCAUUGAUGUAGUAGCAUCUUCCGGAUGUUCCACAUAUGCAAAGUUAGACUCACAACGGAAAUGAUACUUAGCAAUAGCCUCAGGGUUAGCUCGGCAUACACGUGACCAAUGAUCAUUUGAUCCACAACGAUAACACAUAUCCAUUUCAGUAGAAGUCGAUUGAGCAGGAGUUUUUCCCUUGUUUUUGAAGUUCAGGGUUUUAGGCACAAGGGGUGAACGCUGCAGGGUCACAUUUCAUCCCUUGGGGCUGGCACUAUAUUGACCUUGGGCCCGUGGUUGGGCUUGAUGCCCAUUGCCACAGCCACAAUAGCUUUUUUGUCGUUUGUGGCUGCUAAGGUUCGAGUCAGUUGGUCGAGCUUGAUGAUUCUUCAUCAAAAGAUGGUUCUGCUUUUUAGCGAGAAAUAGUACAGAGAUCAAAUCUGAAAAUUUGGUGAAUUUAUGUGCCCUAUAUUGUUGUUGUAGACAAUAUUGGUGGCAUGGAAGGUCGAAUAUGUCUUUUCCAGGAGAUCUGAUUUGGUUGGUUCCACUUUACAAAAUUUCAGCAAUGAUCGGAUUCUACAAACUUCAGAGUUGUAUUCAUUCACGAACUUAAAGUCUUAGAAGAGAAGAUGCUGCCAAUCGUGUCUUGCUUCAUGCAAGUAUAUGUCUUUCUGGUGAUCGAAACGGUAGACCAAAGCAAGCCAGAUGGUGCGUGAGUCCUCCUCAGCGAGGUACUUGGUCUGCAGAGCAUCAUGGAGUGUCUUCGAAUGAAGAUCAUCACAGUAGCUUUCUCAGCUUCGUCGACAUGUUUGCUGUCGGUAAGUGCCUCGAUGGUGGCUCUAAUGCCUUUUUGCAGUGAGAUGAAGCUUCACUUCUUAAAUCCACUUCGAGUAGUUUCUUCCACAGACUUCCAGAGCGAUGAAAUCGAGCUUAUUCAAGUUCGACAUGCCCCUAAAACAGAGGGUACAAAAAAAACGUGAUUAGUCAUAUGGUGAUCCAUAGACAUAUAUCAUAGAAUAUUUCAGGUUUUAGAGACAUGUAUUGGUUUAAUUUAUGCAUGAAAACUGCAGGUUUCAUGUGGUAAGUUUUGAAUGAAAACUUUAGGUUUCAAAGGCACUAAAUAUGAAACUACAGGUUCAAUUUAGUUUUAUGAACGAUUAGUUCAUAAAGGAAAGGUUCCUGCAAGAAACACAAAAUGCAAUAUUCUGAUUUAAGUGUAGUGGAUUUGAGGUUCUUUGGGAACUCAAGUGUGAAAGCUUUGUUACUACAAAAAUGUGUCAACGGUUCAAAGUAUAUAAAAAUAAAUUAUUGAAUCGUUAAUGUCCAAAAGUGAUCUUCAGGUCAAUAAUUUUGGAUUCAUUAUCGUAUUUAAUGGACUGCAAGUCACUUUUAAUUAAUUACCUAAAUCGGGACCAAAUAUGGUCGAUCAUGGAAGCAAGAUAAUAUAGGGGAGAGGCCCUGAAGGUUCGGCUGCUACAUAUGGGGCUCAGGCCGAGAGGGUGUAGGGAGCCCAGCAACCAAGGCUAUUGGCUUUGGGUUGAAAUUGGGACAUGGGGCAGGCCUAGCAAAAGCUAGCCUUUAAGUUGAUCCAGGUAAGCCCAACAAAGUUGGGUUUCAUGUUUUGGGUUCGGUGUAAAUUAAGCCCAGCAACAUAGGGCUACUGGCAAGCAGGCCGAGACUAGGAUAAAGCCCAGUGAGCAUAUGGGCUGCUUCAGGCGAGUCAGGUCAUAGGCAACAAAGGAGCCCAACAACUCUGGGUUGUUGGGCCAAAGGACUCAGACAACAGGCCAAGAAAAAGUCUACAGGUUUUCUUGGUUGGGCUUAGGGAUUGCAUGCUCUAUAAAACUGAGUAGGCCGAAAGCCUGGGGUCCAGGUUAGCACAACAAAGCCCAAAGGGCUACUACCGCGAUGUCCAAGGUGUUAAACGACACUGUGCCAUGUCAUACUCCACACUGUUGUGCUUCAGGUCAGCGGUGGUGGCUCAGCGGAGCCACGGUGGUGGUACGGCAGUUGAGCCGCAUGGUUCCCAAUAAUUUUUAAAUUUUUUUUUUAACAUCCCUAAGGUUUGAAAAACCCUAAAUUGCUUCUAAUUUAUUAAUAUGCUUUGACUCACAAUUCCACAUAGCAAUUUAAUUGUGUAAUGCAUGAAACAAAUAUAUAUUGACAAAUUUAUGAACAUAUACAAUAUAUAUGUGUGUGUGUGUGUAUAUAUAUCGUAUGGAAAAUAUAAACAUAGAGGGGUUCGUGCAUCAUAGGGAAUGUUUUCAUGCUUCAUGGACGUUUCAAAUAUCUUCCUUUAUUUUAAGCGUAUCUAAUUGGCAAAAAACAAAUAAGAGCCUUUGAAUUUUGUGGAAGAUACGAUUCAUCAAUUCCUUAGCUUCUGGUAAGAGCGUCCUGAUAACGUGUUGUAGGCCUAUUUGAUUGAACAAAUCUAAGGGAUUAGAGAAAGAGGGGGUCGGCGGUAGCAAGAGGGAAGAGAGAGAUUUAAUUGUGAGGUGUGUGUUGUAUCACCCUCAUUGUGCCUUUAUUUAUAGUAGUAGGAUAGGCAAAAACCUUACCCUUUUAGAAUUACAACUCUUAAUAAGUAAUCAACUCCUAAUAGGAAUAUAAGAGAUAUUCCUAUAUCUAUUAGGAUUUAAACAAUCACAUUCUUAUUCUAAAUAUGAUUGCAACACAAACCCAAUAUAUGGGCCUAGAAAAACAGCUCUGAUAUCAUAUUAAAGUUUCAGAGAGAUGAGUAGAAUGGCCCUACAGCAAUAUUGACUCUAACUUAACCGCUUGUUGUCCAAUAGGUGUGAGAUCUUAUCCUAAAAGACUUUAAUGUAAAAUGGAUAUAAUCAUAAUAUGUUUUGUCAAACCUCCAAUGCAUGAUUUCCAACAUAUAGUCCAAUACAUCAAAGAUUUCCACCAUGUAACUAAGAAGAAAAAUAAUGCAUCAGUAUUAAUUGGAAGAUAUACUAAAAAAUUUAAGUACAUCUAUAUAUAAAGCCAAUGGAAAGGUGAAUAGUGAUUUUGGUGUCACCAUGCUUCAACAAAAACAUUUGGACAAAAAUGCUCCCAAGACAAAAAUCUUCAAAGGCAUCCCAAAAUAAUGCAUCAAAUAAGGCAGGGGCAUUUUCAUCAUUUUAAUAGUAUUUUUUUUAUAAAUAAUUUUUUGUGCUUUUUUUUUUUAAUUAGUGACUCACAAUAGGCUAGCAAUAAUGUGAUUCAAUUUCUCUAUUUUUAAACAUGUUCAAAACAUCUUAAGAGACGUGUAAUGUCGGUUAUAAAAAAAGUCUUUCUCGGAUAAUAAUGUGAUUAAAUUAGUUGUCAAUUGUUUUUUAACAAAUGAUAUUAUCUAUACUAAUGGGAAGGGGGUGGGCUUAGCCUCACAAUGAGAUAGCAAUAAUGUGAUUAAAUUAGUUGUCAAAUGAUUGUUUUUUUUAACAAACAAUAUUAUUUACACUAAGGGGAGGGGGGGCUUAGCCUCACAAUGGGCUAGCAAUAAUGUGAUUCAAUUAGUUGUUCAUUCAAUAUUAUUUUUUCUAUUUUUAAACACAUUCAAAACAUCUUAAGAGGCAUGUAACGUUGGUUAUAGAAAAUGUCUUUUGCACGUGGAUAAUAAUUCAAUCAGUUAUUUAUUCAAUAUUAUUUUCUCUAUUUUUCUAUAUGUUAUACAUAGCAGGUUUGUGAAAUUCCAAGUUUAUCCUUCUUGUUUCUUUUUUGUCGUGUUCCUUCAACAUGGGACCAAUGACGUAGAUUUCAAAUUGCAGCUAUGGCUGUCUAUUCCAAUCACAGCCACAAUUAGAAUAACUACAAAAGUGGCACUCCUAUUGCGACCCCAACUUUUUUAAAGGGUGAUUCUCUUCCCUCUUAAUUUAUUUUUCUUUUCUUUCCUUUUACUUGAAAGGUUAUGGUUAAUCCACAUCAAUCUCUUAUAUUGAUUUUUUUUUCGGUAACAAUAUAUUGAUUUCUUUAUAGAAAUAAUACGAUAAAAAAUAAAGUGUGAGAGGAGGAGAAUGAAGAGAAUAAGAAUGGAACGAGAGAAAAUCUUACUCUAACUUUUUGUUAUGCAAAUUUAUUUGAUGCCCAAUCAAAAAAUUUUGUUCAUACUUUUUAUGAAAUAUGUCCCGUCAUCUUCUGCAUAGUGAGCACAUGCCACUUCAACCAGAUCGUUUGCUAAGGAUUGUCGCGAAUAGAGACGGAGGGACGAAGGGACCAACAUUGGCCCAGACUUGCCCUCAUUUUUAUUCAAGAAAAAAGUAGACUAGUGCUAUUAGGCCAUCUCCAAGCAUCUCCAACCGAGGGCCAAGCCAGAUGGCUUGUGGGCCCCACGGAAUCCGAAAUGGCCAAAGGGCCAACCGGCUGGCCUAAUCCAGCCAACCAGCCUGGGCCGGCCUGGAUUUCAAAUUUCCAAUGGCUACUUGCUGAUGUCAGCUAGCCGUUAUAAUUUUUUUUUUUUUUUCACAGAAAUGCUUAACUAAAGGUUUUGGGCCAAAAUGUUUUAAAGAAUAUUUAAUUAUAGGCCCACAAAGUAUAUUUAACUAAAGAUUUGGGUGUUCUUUUUAUAAGCUUUGGAGGUUGCUCAAGUUCCUUCCACUGCCCCGGGACUCCCACCCUCUUCCCUUGUUUUUUUUUUCCCACUUCCUCUCCCACAGCUGAUGUGGGACUCUCCCACCCACUUCCUUUUUUUUUUAAUACUCUAAAUAAAACCUCUCACAUUUGACUUAAAAUAUAUAAGUUGCAUUUUUUAAAUUUUAGUUGUAGUUAUUAAAUUUAAGUUGUAUUUUUUAAAUUUUAGCGAUAGUUUUUAAAUUUUAGUUGUAGGUUUUAAAUUUAAAUAAUAAAUUAUGUUUGGCCCUUUGGCCCUUGGUUGGAAAUGGCUUUUAGUGAUAGGGCUAAAACGAACCCUAUGGCCCUCGGUUGGAGAUGGUAUGAAAUAUGGCUGUGUACUGUUCAUUAAAAUAUUAAUUUCUUGGAGGACUAGAUGGCUAAAACGAGCCAUCUAGCCAACCUUCCGUUGGAGAUGGUCUUAGGCCAUCUCCAACCGAAGGGUCCAGAGUGACACCCCGAUCCUAGAGUCAAGGCGUGCUGGCCGUCACGUGAGCGUGACGUAACCAAAAGUGCGAUGCGGAAGCAAAAGAUAAAAGAAUUACGAAGGAAUAAAAACCAACUACUAGCAAUAAUAACCAACUAGCAUACUAGAGUGAGUUUAAGUGUGAAACACACAUGUUCAGAGCAUAAGUACUAGAUGCAGUCAAGUAGGAACAUUACUAAAUUACAACACCCGAAGGUGAGUCCUACAUGAGGAGUCUGUCAGAACGCCGUGGGAAUCCUCGUGAGCCACCAACACCGCUAACUAGAACCUGGAGGGGCACAAAACAAGAUUGAGUGGGUCAAUAAAACAAAGCUUUUCGAAAACAUUUCACUUAAUAACAUUUAUAACCUCUCGCUGUAAAACAUGUAUACUUUCCCAGAAAAUAACAUAAUAUGCAUAUAAAUCUUCAAAUAUCUCAAUUCACCAAUCUUUAUCAAAAACCAGAAAGUAUGCCAUGCAUACAUAUAUAUGAAAUAUAUGAAUUAGUAAUUGUUGCAUAUAUAUGUUAAAUGGCGUUGUGGACGUACAGGUGAGUAUCAGGUGAGUUUAUAUUGUUCAUAUGAUUUAUUGAUGAUGUGAAUUGUGUUAAGAGCUCAUAACCUGCACCCUUGGUGUUAGUGCUUAUAUUAUUCACCCCGCACCACACACUCACCUUGGAUCCAAGUAGGUGCAUGUCGUACAGACCAUGAGAGGUGGUUCCGACAUGUCGUACAGACCAUUAGAGGUGGUUUCCGACUUGUAAAUGACUUUAGAUUAUUAUACAGUUGUUGAUGAGAGAAGCACUAGAGCGUAUUCUUACACCAUUCUUGUCGUACAAACUACUUCAGGUAGUUCCGAUUUAUGCAGAGUAGUGUCGUGCAUGUCACAAUGGUGACUCCGGUUGGGUUGGAUAUUGAGCUAUAAAAUUAACCGUACAAGACAGCUGCAGGGUCUCCGGUUGAUUCAUUAUUUCACCUGUUAUAUUGAUGCAUCCUUAUUCUGUUAUUGGGCCAGCACGCCUUGAUUCUAGGAUUGGGGUGUGUCACAGAGGGCCGAAAAUAGCCCGAAAACCGUCUCCAACCGAGGGUUAGGUCAGAGGGCUCGUGGAAUCUGAAAGGGCCAAAGGGUUGGAGGGCUAGCUGCAUGCCUGGGCUGGCCAGAAAAAACAUUAACUUGUCGAUUAUAACCGACAUGAAUGUUUAAGCUAAAAUUCAAAUGCGACGACUAGCUAUUACAUUUGAAUUUUUUUUUUUUUUACAGUUUUAUUAUUAUUUUUUAUUUACAAAAUUUUUCCUAUAACUUCUACUUUUCAUUUUUUUUUUUUAAAAAAAUUCUUAUAACUUUUAUUUUACAAAAUUUGUUUCAUAUUUUUUUAAAAUUCCAUUUUUUCCUGUAACUUCUAUUUCACAAAAUUUGUUUCAUUUUAUUUUAAAUUCUAUUUUGUUCCUAUAACUUCUAUUUCACAAAAUUUGUUCCAUAUUUUUUUUUAAAUUAUAUAUUUUUUUCCUAUAACUUCUAUUUCACAAAAUUUGUUUCAUAUUUUUUUUAAAUUAUAUUUUUUUUCCUAUAACUUCCUAAGUCAUUAUACAAUAUUAUUAAAUUAAGUAACAUGAAACAACAUUAAAUUAAAUUAAGUAACAUGAAACAACAUUAAAUAACAUUAACGAACAUACAAAUUAUACAACAUAAAAAAACAUUUAACAACAUGAAAUUUAAACAACAUUUUUAAAAACAUUUAACAACAUAAAACUUAAACGCCUACUCCAUGCUUCUUUUGGCCCAAAGAUGUGCAACAAGAUCCUGUUGUAGGUACUUGUUUGUGGCACGAUAACGUAUCAUUCUAUAGCGCCUCAUGUACUUAUUUAUAGAGAUACUAGCAGUUCUUGGAUUGAAAGGCAUUAGGCCCCUCAUAUAUUUUUGCACGAGCCUUUCUUGACCUAUUUGGAUCUUCUUGGUUGUCAUCGAACUCUCCAUCAAUAUACCCAUCUUGGUCAUCCUCCACUAUCAUAUUGUGUAAUAUGAUGCAAGGCAUCAUGAUGGAGUCCAAGUUUUCUCGACUCCACCCUUUUGCCAGUUUGCUAAUGAUCUUCCACCUUGCUUGUAGAAUACCGAAAGCUCUCUCAACAUCUUUCCGGUAUGCCUUUUGGUGUAAGGUAAAGAACUUUUCUGUGUCAUUCCUAGGGUUUGGAAUUGCUUGGACAAGUGUCGCCCACUUUGGGUAGAUAUCAACUGCCAAGUAAUACCCCAUAUUGUAUUGACAGUUGUUGAUGUAGUAGUCAAGUUGAGGUGUUUUACCUUCCGUCAAGUUAUUAAAUAAGGGUGAACGCCCAAGAAUUGUAAUGUCAUUUUGGGAUCCAAGGACUCCAAAGAAAGCAUGCCAAAUCCAUAUGUCAUAUGAGGUAAGCGCCUCUAACACAACAGUUGGCUUUCUCGACUUUCCGUUAUAGCCUUUUGUCUUAUGGUGGGAUAGUUGUUCCAAUCCCAAUGCAUGCAGUCUAAUGACCCUAUCAUGCCCGGAAACCCUUAUGAUGAGGUGAGAAACCAAGGCGGUCUGCUUUAUCCCGUUUUUGUUGAAAGUAUGGAUUGACCUGGACAUCACGAAGUAAACGCUCGAAGACAUGAUGCCUCAUCCGGAAGCGACGUCUGAAAUCCUCUUCUGUGUACAUCGUGCUAGGGUUGAAGUAGUUUUUCAUCAUAUUGGCAUGCGCCAUCGCUCUGUUUCAUGGUUUGUAAAAGCGACCAGCAACAAAGCCACGCCAUUAAGGUUGUUCCUCAGUUAGCUGACUCACCAUGGCCGCAGCCAUAGCUGCUACUCUGUUUUGUUUGUUGCGCCUUACUUGAACUUCUUCAUCAGACUCCUAAUUUUCUUGUCUCAUUUGCGCCCAUUUUGCUUCCAAUUUGGAAUUGGAUGAGGACCCCCAGUUGGAAUCCGAAGAGGAUCCAAAGUUGGAAUCCGAAGAGGAUCCAAAGUUGGAAUUCAUUGCAAACUUGAAUUGAAAAAGAUUGAAUUGAAAUAGAUUAAAUUCAAAGUUGUGUGAAUUAUAGUCCAAUAUCCACCCUAUUUAUAGAAAAAAAAUGCAAAUCCAAUGGCUAGCUGACGUCACUUGUCGUUGGAUUUGAAUUUAAGUUGUAGUUUUUAAAUAAUAAAUUAUGUUUAGCCCUUUUGCCCUCGGUUGGAGAUGGUUUUUUGUGAUAAGGCUAAAACGAACCCUAUGGCCCUCGGUUGGAGACGGAAGCAAAUAUGGUAUUGUACUGUUUAUUAAAAUAUUAAUAUCUUAGAGGGUCAGAAGGCUAAAAUGAGCCCUCUGACCAGCCCUCAGUUGGAGAUGGCCUUAGGACCCCAACAUUUGCCCAACCAGGCUAGGAAGCCGAUUGUCUGCCCUUCUGUUUGGGUGUCAUUCUCAUCCCUUCCUAUUUUGUGCGGUCACGGUUAAGCCACGUUAACAUUUUAUAUUAAUUUUUUAUAAAGAUAAUAAGAUAAAAAGUAAUAAGAAUAUAAAAUAUUAACGUGACUUAACCGUGAUCACACAAAUAAAAAGGAAUACGAGGGACACCAAACAGAGGAUAGAUAAUUUGCUUCCGCCAGGCGAACCCUUUCUGACUUCUCAACAGAGCAGCCGCUUUACAAGACAAGACAAGACCUCCGCUGCUGCUAGACUGCAAAGUUGCCAAAUCAACAAAGGCUUUAUCUUCUCUCUUCUAUUUUUAUUUUUUAUUUUUUAUUUUUGGUCAAUAUCUUCUCUUUUCUAAAAAGAAAAAAAAAUAGGCAAUUGAGAUUUAAUAGGGUACUAUUGUCCACACAUUUAUUUUUGUAUUUCAUAUAUCUCUUUUACUUUUUGACUUAAAUUAUUCUAGACCUUUUUUUUUAUGUCGUUACUGACUAAAGAUCAAACAUGACCUGGUUGGAAAGAUCAGAAUGCUUUCUUAAAUUACAUAGCCAUACGAGGGUUCAAGUUUUGGUUGAUAUUUACAGAAUUGAUUAUACUUCUUGAAAACAAAGAUUUGAAGUGGUCUAUACUUUAUUGAGUAUUCAAUAUAAUUCACACAUUUGUGUAAAAAUCAGUGCAAAUGAAGUAAUACGAAUGUCUCUAGUAGUCGGCCUAUAUCUAUCAACCGGUUGAUAAAAGCGAGAGAUUGAGAUAUGUUUGCUAUUUCUUCCAUCAAUCUUCCGAAUAUAAUAAAUUAAAUAUGAUCAAUGAAAUAGAAAUUAUAAAAAUGUGUGACAAUUAGCAAUUUGGCAAAUGCUCUUGUUUAUUAUAUUAUUUAAUAUGUGGUUACCGGUACUCUUGUCAAUUUCAUACUCUUGUAUGGGAAUUGCCGAAUUGAGCUUUAUCUUCUCCUUUGUUAUAUUAUUUUAUAUGUUGAUAACCUUGUUUUCUGCAAGGUUCAAUGAGAUCAAAUCUCGAAACCCACGUCCUGAGGCAAGUGACCCUUGUGGUGAUAGAUUUUUCAAUGUGAACGGUAUACGGAAUGAUACAUCAUAUCUUACUAAAUAAAUAGUAGGAUAUAUGUGCUAAAAAGUUAAUAACUUAAAAAAUAAAAUUUCUCAUAAUUCCUAUUAAAACACAUGAUAUACCAUUUAUGUUUCCGUCAUAACAAAAAAUUUCUUCAUUGUGGCGCCAUACUCUUAUGGCCCCCAGCAUGAUGUUUUGUGUGUACCAAGUAAAAGUGUAAUGUUAAAGAUAAUAAAUUUAUAAAUAAAUGAUGUAUCCCUGAUAAGAAAUAUUAUGCUUAUUAACGUUUAAGUAAUAAUUCAAUUAUCAAAUUUUAUGUUAUUUAGUUUACAAAAUUUAGUCUAUAAAUUUAGUCUUCCUAAUAUUACCCUAGGUAAAAUUACAAAUGAAUUUCUUGGUGUAUCUUACAAUAUUUAGUUUUUAACUUUCUAUGACGCUGAUUGGUUGGUAAGCAACGAGGAUACCUUUAUUACCUUGUGGCGUUGGUUUUUACCAUUUAACGAAAACCAGCAUGUCACUUUCUCAUAACCUCACUGGACUUUGGCAUCCCCGCACAGGUCAUCCUUCAUCAGCCGUUUACAAUUUGUAUCUAACAAUUUUUUGAAUUAUCAUUUUAAUUCGAGUCAUGUGUGCGAUGUUUCUCGUUGGCAAGACAAAUUCGCCAACCUUUUGAAAUUGGAUAAACUAGGAAAACUAAAUUUGGAUAUAAAAUUUGUAAACUAAAUAAUGUAUCAUUAAUAGAAAUAAGUAUGUUUAUCAAAGUGUAAGUAAAAAAUCAAUUAUCAACUUUCAUAUCUUUUAAUUUUCAAAACUUUGUCUACAAAUUUAAUUUCUCUAGCAUUAUUCUUUGAAAUUAGUUCUAUUUCAACAAGACCAUUUGCACUUUUACAUUGUGACAUUUGAGGUUCUAAUAAAAAAUUCUCUUACUUGGGCUUAUUGUUUUCUAUCUAUUUUCUUUGACUUUUUUCACCUAAGUUUUCUUAUUAUGCGACACAAUCACGAAAAACAAACCACGUUGCAAUCUUUUUUUGUCUUUGUUGAAACACAGUUUCAUAUUAAAGUCCAACAAAUACGUGUGAAUAAUGGGAAGAAUUUUUUUUCCGUGUUCUUUUCCAAUAACGGCAAAAUUAUCAACAUUCUUGUAUCUCUAGAUAAUUUUUUUUAACAAAUAAUAUUAUUUAUAUUAAGGAGGUGUUUGAGAAUGAGUUAAGUCUCACAAUAGACUAGCAAUAAUGUAGUUUAAAUUCACCUUCGGUGAGAAUUGAACUUAAGAUCUUUCGCUUACAAGUGAAAAUAUAUAUUACUAGACUAUAAUACUAAAUGCCUUGUAUCUCUAAAUGUUAGAAUUCCCUUAUUGUACAAGAACUACUCAUGUAUAUAUUUUUAUCUUAUCAAUGAGAAUUAUUCAUUCAAGCCAAAUAUAUUUUUUCUACAACAUCCAGGGCAUUUUCUAUCUAUAUAACUGGUGAAGCAAAAGAAAUCCAAUAAUGAUUGUUUAUUUAUUUAAUUUUUUUUUUAUAUCAAUGGAAAAGCUAAUAAAAAUGAGAGACCAAAUCCCACCAACUAAUAUGAUCAAUCAAUUCACAUCCUCAACCUGAUUACCUCGCGAAGGGCCUAUAUUUCGUCUACGUUGAUGUACACCAGCACUUACAUUUAAAGAUUUUAUCAUAAAUGGUCAUUGAAAUUAACCAUCACCAUCAAGAUGGUCUCUGUAAUUAAAAAUUAAUCAAUGUAGUUCUUGAAAAUAGAUGUCACAAAUCAAUGUGGUCAUUCUGUUACAAUUUUGUUAAAAAUUCCGUUAAGUGCUGAUGUGACCCACACCAAAUUUAUGGAUUUUUAUCACAAAUGGUCUCUGAAAUUGACUCACACCAUCAAAAUGGUCCCUUAAAUUAACCAACACCAUCAAUAUAGUCUCUGAAAUUGAAAAACAAUCAAUGUAGUGUUUUGAAAAUAAGUGUAGCAAAUUAAUAUGAGCAUUCCGCCACAAUUCUGCAAAAAAAAAAAAAUGUUAUAUGCUGAUUUGGGUUUAAUAAUUAAUUAAAAAAGUUGCCUAAAUAUCUUUUUGCACAAUGAAUUUUAUUUUCUUAUAGUAUGGCCUACUCCGAAGAGAGCUCCCUUCCAUAAAUUUUCAAAGGCACAAGGCUUAACCAAGGCCUAAGAGAGGAUGUGGAAAUAGUUUUCAACCAAAAAUAGACGCACCUCAGUUAUAACCUCAUUAUCUCAAGGCAGAUUUCGUCAUUCUUUGCAUCACCAAACCACCAAGGAAGCGCCUAACAAACUCUCUAAGAUUAAGAUUGUGAGGAUGUUAAUCGCAUAAAUGUUAACGGUGAUGUCCCAUAAGUCGUUACAAAUGGACCAAGCCGUCACCAAAGGUGAUCUCGAUCCAAGUUCAAUUUGGUGAGGGUGUUGAAGUAUGGAAAGAUGGGUGUAUUGAGAUUUCUUUUUAGAGAAUAGAGAGUGAAGGAGGUAUAGAAAUGUGGACUAGGAUCGGAGGUGAUUGAAGGACUGGGUUUUUGGGUUGACAAUUUUUUAUUAACUAUUAAAUUAUUAAGCCUAUUUGUAAUUUUUUUUAAAUUUAAUUAGACUUGUGUGACCUGUUUAUGUGUCACAUCAGCAUAUAACAUAAUUUUUGACAUAAUUGUGACGGAAGAACUACAUUGAUUUGAGACACUGACUUGAGGGACUACAUCGAUCAAUUUUCAAUUUCAGGGUCCAUUUUGAUGUCACAAGUCAAUUUCAGGGACCAUUUUGAUGUCAUGGGUCAAUUUCAAAGAACAUUUGUGAGAAAAAAGGACUUAUAGGGUCCAUUUAUGUGUCACAUCAGCACUUAACAGAUUUUUUUAAUAGAAUUGUGAGAGAAUGACCACAUUGAUUUACGACACUUAUUUUCAGGGAUUACAUUUGUGAUAAAAACCCUUCCAUUUAAUGAUUAAUCUAUCUCCUUUACAAAAAGAAGAAAUGAGACAAACUCCAACCCUUGGAGUAAGUACCAAAGAUUUAGGCCAAAGAAAAUUGUGGAGCCCAUAAGUGAGAGUGGAACAAGGGAGGUAAAGUGGACUUGCCCAGCAUAGACUCACGCAUGGUCAGUAUGCGCUUGGCAGCGUCAGGUUCUCUGGCCCACCCACGUGGGGUUGUUGGGCUCGUCCCCAUGACACGAGCCCAACGGCUCUUUUUGGUGAUUCGACGGCCAUAAUUCAAAUGGAUCUUGGAAAUCUAAUAGUCCACUUUAAUUUAUUUAAUUUUUAGUUUUAUAUUUAUAUAUUUAUUGAAUCCAACUACUGAAAUCGAAUAUAAUCAAAUCUAAUGAUAUAAAAAAAGAUCUAACAACCCAAAUUUAAAUUCAACGGCUAAAAUAAUUAAAAAAAUUAUUUAACUCAAAAUUCACCCAAAUUUAGUGAUUUUUCAAUAUUUAUCAGAAUUUAAAUAUUUUAGGUUAAAAUGGUCAUAAAAUAAAAUUAAAAAAGUAUACAUAAUUUUUUAUUCUUUAAUAACCUCGUGCUAAAAAAUUUAGGCCAGGAUGAUUGGAGUAGAAAAGUUGUUUUUGGAUUAAAGCCUAAAUUUUCUGAACUAAAAAUUUUAGAUUUUAUUCCAAAGGUUGGAGAUGAUCUGAUAAUUAACUAAUGUUUGAUUUAAGCAUUUCGGCAAUGUAAAAUUGUUUAGACCCAAUUUUGCACUGUUAACCCAUUUAAUUGAGGUCGUUAGAUUAUUAAUAUUUUCUUUAGAUAUCACUACAGAUAUUAAUCGUUGUAGUAAUUGUCUUGGAGAUGCAUAUAUAACUUGAGAGUCGGAUAAAUCCAAUUCGGUAUUGUGCGUCCACGUGAGAGAAGAUGAAGAUAUUCGGUAUUCACCAUAAGAUCAAGAUGGAAUAACAGUGGAAUAUAUUUUUAGAUUCCUGACGCCAUGCGAAAAUUGAAAGAGUUGGAUUGAUGACAAAACUUGAUGCGACACUGACAUGGUAUUGGGGAUAGUGAUUAUCAUCUUUGCAAAGAUGAUUUGCAUGCCGUGAUGCCUUGGUGGAAAUGCAUGGCUAGAAGAUAAAUUGCAUGAUAAUUACUUGAAGUUAGCCGUGGUCUUGAUUUCCACAAUAUGAGGGGAUAAAAUGAAAAUUGUUCAGCUUACACUCUGCACCUAUAUAUUUUUAAUUAAAGAAUUAAUAUCUUUUUAAACUCAAAUUUUUUAUUUAAAUUACAUUUACAAACUCAAUUCAUUUAUCUUUAUACUCAUUUAGAAAAUAAAAUCCCAAAUUGAAUAAUUUGGUCAAGUUUCUAAUUAUUUAUGGGAAUGAAAGCUUUUUAGACUUCAACUUCUGAGAACAAGUUGAAUAAUUUGGUUAAGUUUCUACUUAUUUAUGAAUCUUACUUGUAAACGUUAUCUAUGCAUCAAAAAGUCUAAAAAGUAAAACUUGCUUGUGAGUCUGUGACACAAGAAAGAAAACCCUUCCUAUUCUCUCUGCUUGCUGCAAUGACUAGGCCAAUCUAAACACUGCCAAAGACGUCAAACACAUCUUACAAUUUAUAUUAGACAUCAUUGUGUUUAGCAACCUCGUCAAGUGCAUCUUACAGUUUGUAUUGAACAACACUGUGCUUGACAAUUGGCAACAUCGUACAAUUUGUAUCGGACAAACACUAGCUCCAUAGAGUCAAACAGUCGUGGAGCAUCUUACAAUUUGUAUUGGACAUCACUCAAGUUCGCCUGACUAUCUAUCCAAGUCUCUAUCAACAAGGGUUCUUUGAGUCCUUGUUGGAAGAGGUCACUUCAGUAGCUUUCUCAGCAAAGUUAGGAGUUACCAAGUUACAUCGGUUGGCACAUUGAAAACCGAACCUGUUUUAAGAUUGGAUAUUCACAAGUACAUUUUAAAGGCACUUCGGCAACCGAACCACAUUUAAAAUCAAGACACUUAUCUCCUUUGAAUAUUUGUGUCGGUAUAGUCUGGUACUGAUUCGGCGCACUUAUAUUUGCACAAAUAUAAUUGAAGCAACCGAGCCCGAUGCUGAUGAUUCAUGAACUUCAAAGUAACUAGUAGUCUUGUCUUCGAACUCUAGAACCUAAAGGCCGAGAUGAGUUCUUUCUUUGGCCGCAAUCAUAAGAUACAUAAAUUAACAAUGCGUUUGGCAUCUUUUUUUUGUUUAUAUUGAAACACAAUUUCAUAUUAAAGUCGAACAAAUACGUGUGAAUAAUGGGGAUAAUUUUUUUUCCAUGUUCUUUUCCAAUAAUGGCAAAACUAUCAACAUUCUUGUGUGUGUGUGUGUGUGUGUAUGUGUGUAUAUAUAUAUAGAUAUUAACAAACAAUAUUAUCUAGACUACGGGGGUUGGGGAGUGAGCUAAACUUCAUAAUGGGCUAGCAAUAACGUGAUUCAAAUUUGCUUUGCUUCUGACAAUAAUUGAACUUAAUACCUCUCACUUACAAAUAAAACGGAAUACCACUAGACUGUAGUACUAAUUGACUUGUAUCUCUAAAUAUUAGAAUUUCCUUAUUGUACAAGAACUACUCACGUAUAUAUUUUUCUCGUAUCAGUGAGAAUUAUUCAUUCAAACCAAAUAUAUUUUUUCUUCAACAUCCAGAGCAUUUUCUAUCUAUAUAUCUGGUGAAACAAAACGAAUCCAAUAAAAUGAUUGUUUAUUUUUUAAAAUCAAUGGAAAAACUAAUAAAAAUGAGAGACCAAAUCCCACCAAUAACAUGAUCAAUCAAUCACAUCCUCAAUCUGAUUACCUCGCGAAAGGCCUAUAUUUCGUCUACGUUCAUGUACACCAGCACUUCCAUUUAAUGAUUAAUCCAUCUCCUUUAGAGAAAAGACAAAAGAUAAUUAGCUGAUGUUCGAUUUAAGCAUUUCGUCAGUGCGAAACAUAAUCAAUUAUUGUUUACCCCAAAAAAAUAAAAAAAACACAAUCAAUUAUUCCAGAAACUGAUAACACAUUGUUUGUCAACCUCUUUAGAUUUGAAGUUGGGAACUUUUGACUGUUGAAUUAGUUGGACUAUAAGGGAAUGUUUAGGUGAAGGAGUUCUGAAUUUCAAGGGAAUUAGUCAAAAUAAAGAAAAACGUUGAUUACAAAAGGUUGGAUGAGAGGAAUUUUUUGGUUUUUUUUUUUUUAACAAACGAUAGUAUUUAUGCUGAAGAAAGAAGAUGUGCUAAACCUUAAAAUGUGCUAGUAAUAAAGAGAGAGGAAUUAGAAAAUGCACCACAUGAUUAUUACAAAGAUAUGCAAAAUGGAUUGUAAAUGACUUCUUUUAAGUACUUUGCAAAUCUCUCUCACAUGCCUAUUGUAAUGAUCAAGUUGUGCAUUUCUAAUCUUUCUAUUUAACUUUUGGUGAACUAUUUUUCAUCAUUAUAUGUAAAUCCGUUGAAAUUUGAAAAUUCCUCACCCAAACAUAACGUAAGUGAUUGAAUUGCCGACUUGAUAUAGGAUGAAAAGUGAAACAUUUUUGUUGUGUACGUGGAAUUAUGUAAUGGUAAUUGUUUUACUUGUAAAAGUCAUAGUGGGACUGGCAUACGUGUGUGAAGCCAACUAAGACAAUUUAUAUGCUUCGUUGCACUAGAGAAAUUUGAUUAGAACCCAAUGAACCUCUUUCCACGUUUAUGCACCAAGAAUUUUAACGUUAAGGCAAUAAAUUAGACAUUUCCAGCAGUAGCUGUACUAGAUUUUAUUGUAUUAGAAUUUCAAGACCAAGUUUUUUUAUUUGUCUAGAAAGAACUCUCUAGUAUCUUUUUGUACUCUCUUUAUGAAAAUCGAGGCUUAUCAAUUUGUAAUAAUCAUAAAACAAGAAGUGUUACAAAUAAGAGUUUUGCAAUAUUAACUCAUAUUUUUAGCAAUACAUCAAUAUUAAAAUUAUUUCCUGCACCAAACUAUAUUUUAUGGCUCAUCCAUUAUUUGUUUUAUUUUUCUAAGUUAUUACUCAAGGUCUGGUUAGGCACGACUAAGGUUUACUUAAAUUGGUUUUCUACUAUUAUUCAUUUGUACAUGAAUACCUCCUUUAAUAUACUCUAAUUUAUGUGAAAUAGGGAAAAUUCUGAAAUUUAGCUUGACUCUGACAUACUAAGAUUGAAGGAUGAAUGAAAAAGAAGUUUCAUUGACAUCCAACGACACUUACUAAAACCGUAUUAAUUUUAGUACUUUGAUUGAAACACAAACUGUUAAAUUUCAGUAUUACAUAAGAAAUUUAAUAAUGAAAAUUAAUAAUUCCUCCCUAAAAUCAUACAAAGAUUUUUAACCUCAAAUUCGAACUGUGUGAAAUUUAAUCAAAUAUUUCAGUUUUUUCAAAUAAAAUAUUUUAUUCUUAUUUUUAAAAUAGGGGAUGUUUUAAAUUAAAAAGGGUACAUUUUUAUUUAAAAAGUGAGUAAAUUUUACUCAAAAGUCUAUAAUUAGUAUGAGAACCUAGUUUCUUCUAGUUGGGUGUAUUCAAUUGGGUAUUUGAGAGAUUUCAAUGGAUUUAUAAAUCCAUAGAAGGAGUUUAAUUGAUUUGUAGAGAUUCCGUGUAAAAUUUUGAUUCAAUUCCCUCGAAAUCUCAUGGGGAGAUGUGAGAUUUGUGGAUGCUUAAAAUACACUACGAAAUCUCUCAAAUUCUCUCAAAUUCCUCAACAUUUUCAAAUUCUUUAAAAUCAAAUUCUAAUUGAAUACACCUGGAAUGUUAUAAACUUCUUUAAAAUCUUAAUGGAAUACACCCAAAUUUCUAAGGAUUUUAAUAAACUAUCUUAAAAUCUUAAUUGAAUACACAUUGAAUUUCAGAGAGUCACUUAAAAUCAUGAUUGAAUACCAUUAGAUUCAUUAAAGAAUUAAAAUCCCUCAAAAACUCAAUUCAAUGCACCCACUUUUUUUUUUUUUUAUAAUUUAUUUUGAAUUCUAGAUUUAGAGAGAAUGUUGAAAUUGAACAUUUAAAAUCUUCACUUUUCAGCUUUCAAGUGGGAGUUGAAUUAAUUUCUAAAGGAAGAAUGAAACCGUAAACAAAGGUAGAUUCACUGCGCCCACAUUCUAUUGCAAUAACAAUAGCUACCAACCACUUUGUUCAGAAGAAGGGGGAAAAAAAAUAAUUAAAAUGGAAAUCUGACAGCCACUCCAUACAUGAAAAUGACGAAGUAGGAUUCUCUUAUUUCUCAUGCCCUCACCUUCUAUUUGAAUAGUCGUAAUUUAGUUUUGUUGACAUCUUGUAUUAAUUUUUUUGUAGAUAGAGAAAGACAAAAAUUACAGAGAUGCUAUCAAAAGAAGGUAGUGUUAAAAUACAAGUCAAGGGUAAAUGAAAAUUAUACAUUAAAAUGGACAUGUCAACCUUAUCGUCUAUUUAUAUUAUAAUACAUAGCAUACUAUCUUUUAUUCUUGGUACACAACGUAUCAAUCAAUACUACACGGCAUGGUGUGAUAGUCAGAUUUAAAAAUUCAUCUAAAAAUACUCAUUUAAGGUUAACUUUUAUAAGUGAUCCACGAAAAUAUGGUUGGUUGUAGCGCUUUUUUCUUUUCAAGUCAAAUUGAACUUUAUUAAUAACCAUGCAUCAAGAUCGCACAUAAGGCAGAGAUGACAAAUGUAAUCAAGCAGUCGCAUAUGUCGAAAAUAUCAAAACAAUUUUACAAUCACAAACUUAUCCUGAAAAUCACAAACUUAUCUUGAAAAUUAUGUAAUUUCUAAUCACAAAGGACCCACGUUCCACCAACAAGAUAGCAGAUACUCACGGUAUCGGCACCAUGAGGAAAAAAAAUCAAACAGGCACAUAACAGUAAAAAAUAAAUAUACAGUGGGAAGGAACAUCAGAAGUCCAAAAGACAAAAAAGACAAAAGCUAACAAUACAAAACUUAUCAAUUAUUUGACAAAAGGAGCCAAAGAUAACUAAAAUAUGAAAAAAGCAAUCCAAAAGGAAUAUGUCUUGCCGAUCUUAAUUUAAGAAUCCGUUUGUAAUUGCUAAUGUAAAAACACUUCUCCUCAUCUCUGCCGCCAUGCAUAUAAAACUUUAUCCAUAUAACUUUACAAAAAGAUGGCAUUUUGUCAUCGUGAAUACAGGAAUGAAUGUCAUUCGAGACUACUUAAUUAAUGUUAUUAUUUGCAAUUACGUGUUGAUGUCAAACACCAGAAAGUCAAAUUGAAGCACUAUAAUGCCUAAGAAAAAGAUAAACACAAAUACUAAUCGGUCAAUGAUCUGCGUUUUCUCCUUUUCAUUGUUUCCACAUGGUGAUUUUAGUGUAAACAAAUCAAGGGAAAUGCUCAGUCCAAGUGCAUUAUACUCUGUCAAUGAGAUUCAUCCGUUCGUUCUUACGGAUUAUACAAACUAUGGACGGAAACUUACUCUUUUUCAAUUUUCUUAAGCUUUCAUCUUAUCUAUUGAAUCCACAUCAUACACUUAAAAUCCAGGCUCUAAGGUCAUUUGGCACUAUAUAAGUAGGAUAAUACUUGCUUCUACCGUAUUGGUGGACGUGCAUAUCCACUUCUUAUAAAUAGUGUAUUUUCAUCGUAAAAUUUUACAAUAAGAAUCAUCCAUUUUCUCAAUCAUCAUUUAAAGAUCAUCUCUACAAAAAUAAUUCGGAUCAGAGAUUGUUUAGUCAUCCAAAUGUAUCAAAUAAUUGGAUAGUUCAUUAUGAAUAUAUUACUUGAUAUACCUGCACUAUUGAUUUAUUCCACAAAUUUGAAUGAUUAAAUGAUUUUUUAUUCAAACAAUUUUUUACAGGGUUUUUAUCACAAAUAGUCCCUGAAAUUAAAAAUCAAUUAAUGUAGUCCAUGAAAAUAGGUGUCACAAAUCAAUGGGUCCUUCCGUCACAAUUAUGUUAAAAAUUCCGUUAAGUGUUGAUGUGGCAUGCGACAACCCGUCCCAAAAAUUUCGUUUUCUAUUUAUUUUAAUCGAGGGAAUUGACGAAAAUACCCUAGAAGUGAGAUCAUUGACUUUAGUUGACCAUCUUUUAGUAACUCAUACGUGUUAUUAUUUGUCGUACUCUCGAAGUACUCGACGAUCCAAACGUAUAGGCGUAAGCAGAAUCGAAAGCAGAACUAUGGAUAAAAUUUUAUAAGACUUCGAGUGCUGAAGACAAAUAGAUAAAUUUCAUAAUUGGGAAAUAUUUUUGUGACUUUUUUUUUGGGAGCCAUGUGAGUGGCUAUGAAGGAAAAGAGAGAGGAAAAUGGUUGCUGGCUAAUCAGGAAAAAGGGAAGGGAGAAAGGAGAGCUGGGAGGGUGGAUGGACCAACCAGGAGAAGAGGGAGAAGAGUCUAACCAAUCAGGAAGAGAAGAAAGAAGGAGACAGGAGAGAAGGGAGAAACGGGGAAUUACAACCCGCGAACUCGUAACUCGACCCGGUCGGUGUUCUUGCCAUUUCCAAAGGGUUUUGGCCCAUUUUUCUGACGAAUCGCAUCAAACCAACCCUUGUAAAACCCUCCAUGACCUUCCUUCUUCCUAUUACACCUCAAAAAUAAAGGGUUUUGGCUUUGAAAUUAGGAGAAACAGCACGGAGGGGUGCGGCGGGUUUGGGUUCAAUUUACCUAAAUCCAAAACUAAUCACACCCAUCUCUACCACCAUUAGACUUCCUUUGAGGUAUGGAACAAAGCCCAAUCAGUUGUAGGGGCGGCGGAUCAUCAAGGAGAAAGAAUCGAAGCACACCCACACUUAGGGUUCCGACGGAUUUUAGCUAAAUUGGGGCUUUUCCCGAUCAAAUUGGCCUUGGUCACAAGUAUGAAAGUUGCCCUACUCAUUGAGACCUUCAUUUCUAUAGUUUUUGAGAAUUUUUAGAAAUAGUUGAAUUUUUCGGCGAGUCGGGGCGGCCAACCGCCACCCGAGGCGGCGCGUGGUCAGGGGACCGUCAAUGUUAUUUUUAGGCUAAAUUAGAUGCCUUGAGUUCAAUUUUGGUAAUUGUAUAACGUAGGUUGAUUGUUUGGACCUAAAUUCAUUAAGAUAUGUUACUUGGUAAAAACAUGAAUUGACGACUGUUGGAUUGUCACCAAACUUUAAUACGUUAUAAUACAUAAUAUUUGAAGUUCAUAGGAACUUACGAAUCGGGAAUCCGAUAUACGGAUCUUCCCAAAUUGGAUUUGUAAGUUCAUAAAAUAAAAGGUUAACCGCCACUUAGUUUUGGCUAUUGGCGGAGAUACGACCAUUGGAUCAUAAUGAAACUUUAGGAUGUUGUUCUAGACGUAUAAUGUGGAUCUUUGGAAGCAAUGGACCCGAAAUCCGUGAUGCAGAUCUUUUGAAUUGAAUUACGUAGGGAUGUGUUUCAUGUAAAUUAUAUAUUCUAUUGGUAAGAACUCUGAGAUGUGAUUUGAUAAUUGUUAUAGGCAACGAUGGUUCAUGAUGUCUCGAUAUGCAUGCUAGGGAGUCGUAGCGUGGACCUCAGGUGAGCGGAUCUUUUCCUUUCUAUCGUAUAUAUAUAUAUAUAUAUAUAUAUAUAUAUAUAUAUAUAUAUAUAUAUAUAUAUAUAUAUAUAUAUAUAUAUUAUAUUAUUGAUAAUUCCAUAAAUGUUUAUAAAUUGAUUAUUGCUUAUAAUUACCGUUAAUGCUUUGAAGUACUGAUGCAAACUACGAAUGGCUUGAUCCCUAUUUAGGGUGCGUAGGCAGUCUAACGAAACGUUAGAUGCAGCCAUAUCAUAAAUGAGAUUAAAUAAUUGAGACAAUAGCCUUAUUUGUGAAAUUGUGCAAGGUGGGGGACCUUGGUAGAAGAUGUAUAUAUAUAUAUAUAUAUAUAUAUAUAUAUAUAUAUCUAUAUAUAUUUGGCACCACUACGAUAUGGUUAAGUUUUGAAUUGCAUCAAGGCAUGUCCAUAAGUAUAUUAUUGAGCAUUAUUAUUAUGAACGCUUUAAGGUACGAAGGUGAACGUGGGAUGCAUAGAUAAGUUCAGGUGAGUAUAUGUUGUGAAAUGUGAAAUGCAUAAUUGUGAUUACAUUUUAUUUAGAACGAUCGAGUGAUGGCAUGACUAUAUUAUAUUUUGAGCAACUUCGACACUAUCAUACGGAUUGCUCAUGAGUCGUACAUGUUAUGUUGAGAUGUAUUGAGAGCUCAUAAACCUGCACCCCCGUGGCCAGGGUAUAGUCUUUCGCGUGAUGUUCACCUCCUGCACCUUACGCUCACCUUGGAUCCAAGGUAAGUGCACAGCCCUGUCUUACAAACCACUUUAGGUGGUCCUGACUCGUAGGUGACCUGCAAUUAUUCGCACAGUCUUCACGUGAUCGUAGCACUUGAGCGUAUUUAUUUACACCCAGUCCUGUCGUACAUACCACUUUAGGUGGUUUCGACUCAUGUGCAGGUAUACUUAUUGAGCUAUGGAUAAGUCGUAUAGGUCACUAAAGGUGACUCCGAUUUAUGAGCUAGCAUAUGUGAUGAGAUAUGUGACGAGCUAGCAUAUGUGAUGAAUAUGUGAUGUGACGAGCUAGCAUAUGUGAUGAAUAUGUGACGAGCUAGCAUAUGUGAUGAAAUGUGUGACGAGCUAGCAUAUGUGAUGAAAGAUGUGAUGAGCUACCAUAUGUGAUGAAAGAUGUGAUGAGCUAGCAUAUGUGAUGAAAUAUGCGAUGAUCUAGCAUAUGUGAUGAAAUAUGUAAUGAGCUAGCAUAUGUGAUGAAUAUGUGAUGAGCUAGCAUAUGUGAUGAGAUGAAUAUGUGAUGAGCUAGCAUAUGUGAUGAAUAUGUGAUGAGCUAGCAUAUGUGAUAAAGUAUGUGACGAGCUAGCAUAUGUGAUGAAAUAUGUGAUGAGCUAGCAUAUGUGAUGAAUAUGUGAUGAGCUAGCAUAUGUGACGAGAUAUGUGAUGAGCUAGCAUAUGUGAUGAAUAUGUGAUGAAUAUGUGAUGAGCUAGCAUAUGUGACGAGAUAUGUGAUGAGCUAGCAUAUGUGAUGAGAUAUGUGAUAAGCUAGCAUAUGUGAUGAACUAGCAUAUGUGAUGAGAUAUGGGUAAGUCGUACAGGUUACCAUAGGUGACUCCAACUUGCGUGCUAGUAUGGGUUAUUAAUCACAUGAUUAUUUGAUAUUGCUGAUGAGAUGCUAUGUUGUGACAUAUUUAUGAUUUUUCUGGAAACUAUACAAGUGUUGUAACGAGGGGUUAUAAUGUUUUAUAUGGUUUCUAUUAAAAUUUUAUUUCCAGGGCCACUCACUCUUGUUUUGUCGUCACCCUCCAGGUUUUAUUAGCUGAGCUUUCUUAUCGUCGAAGAUUCGUGGCGAUUCUUAAUAUUGGAGAUUAUUUCGAGGUACGAUUCUUAAUUCACUCUACUAUAUUUGCUUAUGCUCUAACGUCACGUGUGAAGUGGGUUCAUUCCCGCUCACCUCCGCAUUUUGGUAUUUAGGCACUCUUAGGUUUAAAUUUAUUCACAUUUUUCCACAUCAUCAUACUUUAUGGCUUUGUCAGCCUCCAGGUGUCGGCCAACACAGCUUGAUUCGGAGUCUUAGUGGACAUGUCGGGUCGGGUGUGUCAUGGCACAUAAAUGGGCCCAUAAGAUUUAUGGGUUUUUAUCACAAAUGGUUCUUAAAAUUGACCCACACCAUCCAGAUGGUCCCUGAAAUUGACCCAGACACCAUCAAUCUGGUUCUUGAAAUUGAAAAUCAAUGUAGUCCUUGAAAAAUAGGCGUCGCAAAUCAAUAUGAUCAUUCAACCACAAUUCUGUAAAAACAAAAUUGUUAUGUGCUGAUGUGGGUGUAAUAAUUAUUUAAAAAAGUUGUCUAAAUACAUUUUUGCACAAUGGAAAUUUUUUUCUUAUAGUAGGGCCUACUCCGAAGAGAGAUCCCUUCCAUAAAUCUCAAAGGCACAAGGCUUAACUAAGUCAUAAGAGGGGGUGUGGAAAUAGUUUUCAACCAAUAAUAGACUCACCUCAGUUAUAACCUUAUUAUCUCAAGGCAGACCUCGCCAUUCUUUGCAUCACCAGACCACCAGGGAAGAGCCGAACAAGGUCUCUAAGAUUAAGGUUGUGAGAAUAUUCAUCGCCUAAAUGUUAAUGGUGAUAUCCCAUAAGUCGUUGCCAAUGGGCCAAGCCGUCACCAAAGGUGAUCUCGAUCCAGGUUUCCGUGAAGAGUGUCGAACUAUGUAAAGUAUGAGUGUAUUGAGAUUUGUUUUUUAGAGAAUAGAGAGCGAAUGAGGUAGAGAAGUGUGGACUAGGAUCAGAGGUGAUUGCAAGAUUGGGUUUUUGGGUUGAUAAUUUUUUAUUACGUAUUAAUUAAGCCUAUUUGUAAUUUUUUAAAUUUUAGACUUGUGUGACCCAUUUAUGUGUCACAUCAGCACAUAACAUAAUUUUUGACAAAAUUAUGACGAAAUGACUACAUUAUGGGGCCCAUUUAUGUGCCACAUCAGCACUUAAUAGAAUUUUUAACAGAAUUGUGAUGAAAUGACCACAUUGAUUUGCGACACCUAUUUUAAAGGACUACAUUGAUUGAUUUUCAAUUUCAGGGACCAUCUUGAUGGUGAUGGUCAAUUUCAGGGACCAUUUGUGAUAAAAAUCCUUUUUUAAAUGAAUAAUCUUCAAAAUAAAAAUUAAGAAAUUGAAUAAUUCUAAUAAGAAAUUUCUAGGAUGAAAAUACCAGCACCCUUUGAUAAUUGUAACCUCCCCAAAUCUUGUUCUAGGUACAACUUCAGGUGUUAGCUAGCACAUUUCACCUCAAUUGGCGGUUUACAGUUGGCCUUAUCCCAUCGUUAGCUUGCCCAAGAAAAGUUGCAAAUUUAUGUAGCAUACAAGUGUCAUAGCAAUGUAGACCUCCAAUUUCUUAGGCCAUCUCUAACCGAAAGGUCCAGAAGGCUGAAAAUAACCUGAAAACAGUCUUCAACCAAGGUCCAAGCCAAAGGGCUCAUGGCCUUACUGGACAAAAAAGGGCCAAAAGGCCAACCAGCCAGCCCAAACCAGCCGGCCCCGGGCCGAGCCAAAAUUUGAAUUCCAACGGUAACUAGCUGAUGUCAGCUAUCCGUUAUUUUUGAAUUUUUUUUUUUCACAAAGUUUUUUUUUCCCAUAACUUCCUAAGCCAUUAAGCAACAUUAAAUAACAUUAAGUAACAUGAAACAACAUUAAAUAACAUUAAACAACAUAAAAAAACAUUUAACAACAUGAAACUAAAACAACAUUUUUAAAAACAUUUAACAACAUAAAACUUAAACAUCUACUCCAUGCUUCUUUUGGCCCAAAAAUGUGCAAAAAGAUCCUAUUGUAGGUACUUGUUUGUGGCACGGGAACAUAUCAUCCUAUAGAGUCUCAUGUACUCACUUAAAGAGAUACUACUAGUUCUUGGAUUGAAAGGCAAAUUAGGCCCAUCAUAUUUUUGGCACGAGCCUUUCUUGACCUAUUUGGAUCCUUUGGUCGUCGUCAGACUCUCCAUCAAUAAACCCAUCUCGCUCAUCCUCCAGAAUCAUGUUGUGUAAUAUGAUGCAAGACAUCAUGAUGAAGUCCAAAUUUUCUCGACUCCACCCUCUUGCUGAUUCCUUGAUGAUCUUCCACCGUGCUUAUAGAAUACUGAAAGCUCUCUCAACAUCUUUCUCGUAUGACAUCAUGAAGUAAACGCUCAAACACAUGAAGCCUCAUCCGGAAGCGACGUCUGAAAUCCUUUUCUGUGUACAUCAAGUUAGGGUUGAAGUAGUUGUUCAUCAAAUUAUCAUGCGCCAUCGCUCUGUUUCGUGGUUUGUAAGAGGGACUAGCAAUAGAGCCACCCCAUUGAGGUUGUUCCUUAGUUGGUUGACACACCAUGGACGCAGCCAUGGCUGCCAUAUAUUGUGUGUUGCGCCAUGCUUCAUCUUUUUCAUCUGACUCCUCAUUUUCUCAUCUCAUCGGCACCCAUUUUUCUUCUAAUUCGAAAUUGGAUUCGAACUGCGAGUUGGAAUUCGAAGAGGAUCCAAAGUUGGAAUUCAUUGCAAACUUGAAUUGAAAGAGAUUGAAUUCAAAGAUGUGUGAAUUAUAGCCCAAUAUCCAUCCUAUUUAUAGCCCAAACAAAUUCAAAUCCAAUGGCUAGCUGACGUCAGUUACCGUUGGAUUUGAAUUUUUUUUUUCGGCCAAAAUUAAAAACAAAAUAUUAAUUUUUUUUAAUUUUUUCCUAUAAAUUUAAGUUGUUGUAGUUUUUAAAUUUAAAUAAUAAAUUAUAUUUGGCCCUAUGGCCCUUUAACCCUUGGUUGGAGAUGAUUUUUUGUGAUAUGGCUAAAAUGAGUCAUAUGGCCUUUCGGCCCUCGGUUCAAGAUGGUAAGAAAUAUGGUUAUGCACUGUUGAUGAAAAUAUUAAUUUCUUGGAGGGCCAAAGGGCUAAAACGAGCCCUGUUAGGCCAUCUCUAACCGAGGUCUGGCCAGAGGGUUCGUUUUAGCCCUCUGGCCCUCCAAGAUAUUAAUAUUUUAAUGAACAGUACAAGACCAUAUUUGCCUCCAUCUCCAACCGAGGGCCAAAGGGCCAUAGGGCUUGUUUUAGCCCUGUCACAAAAAAUCGUCUUCAACCAAGGGCCAUAGGGCCAAACAUAAUUUAUUAUUUAAAUUUAAAAACUACAACAACUUAAAUUUAAUAACAGCAACAACUUAAAUUUAAAAACUACAACAACUUAAAUUUAAAAACUACAACUUAUAUUUAAAAGCUACAAAUUAAAUUUAAAAACAACAUUAAAUUUAGGUAUUUAUAGGAAAAUAUUUAGAAUUUUUAAGAAUUAAAAAAAAAUUUUGAACCCAAUGGUAACUGGUGUCAGGUAGCCGUUGGAUUCAAAUUUGUGUUUAAACAUUCCUAUCAGAUAUAACCGACAUGAAUAAAUUUAUAUUAAAUAUAUUCCUGUCGUUAUAUCCGACAAGAUUGCUGGAAUUUCUGGCCAACCCCAAGCUAGCUGCAUGUGGCCAGCCCUUUGGCCAUUUCAGAUUUCGUGGGGCCCAUGAGCCCUCUAGCCUAGCCCUCGGUUGAGACGGUUUUUGGGCUAUUUUCGAGCCUCUGGCCCUCUGGACCCUUCGGUUAGAGAUGACCCGAUCCUCCUUCGAUUGGAGAUGGCCUUAUAAAAGGCCACUAGACUUGCACUAGUUUUGUACCACCCAUGUCACAGUUUGCACAUCUCGCUAGUUCCCAUAACAAUGUCACCUAAAUGGCUUCUCGUAUUAUUCCUGGGUGUGAUACUUCUGAGCACUUAUUCUUUUGCUGAUCACCAUAAACCACCUCAUAAGCCACCAAUUCAUAAGCCUCCUACUUUGGAAGUGGAGAAGUCAGUUGAAUUGGAUGACAAACCUUGCAAUUGGAUGACAAACCGCCGAUUUCUAUUGAUUAGGGGUGGGUUCGGUUUAAAUCGGUUCGGUUUUUUGUCAAAACCGAAACCAAACCGAAAUUUCGAUUCGGUUCAUUUUUUUUUCGGUUUUUUCCGGUUCGGUUUUUUCCAGUUCGGUUUCAGUUCGGUUUCGGUUUUUUGUUUUUUAUUUUUUCAAAAUGAAAAACAUUGAAAUUUUAAAUUUUAACAUAUCCAACACAAUCAUAACAUAAGCAUUCUAACUAGAAUCAAAGACAAUGAAAAUAAACAUUUAAAGUUGAACUAAAAUCAUCAAUCAAGUCUUCCAAAGUCCAAACUAACAACCUCACAACACAAAAAUCGUACAAAUGACUUAGAAAAGUUUCAUUGUAUGAUGUUGUUCAAAGAUCAGGGUUGUUUGCUUGAAAUUGCAUGUUGACAACUUGAUUAGUAAAAGUAAUGCAUGGGUGGAUUUAUUUAGUGUGUGUUGGAUUCUUUUCCAUCACAAAUUACCCAAGUAAUCUACCCAAAAUAAAUGUUUAUGGAUUCUGUUACAUGUUAUAUGAGAGUAGAUUUGGAAAAGAAAGCUGGGGCAGAAGUAGACAGUGCUAUGGAGAUGGAUGUAGGUACUUCAGGAGGAGGUAGAAAUAAUGGGUUAGGGUUUAGAGUUUUUAUAGGCCUUUUUUUAAUAUUUUGAGCUUAAAGUUUGGCAACACAUUGGGUUUAGCAUAUUUUAACUUACAAAUUGGGUUUAGAAAAUAAUACCCAAAACAAAUAAUUAAAUAAAAAAAUUAAUUUAAUUAAUUCGGUUCGGUUUGGUUUUUAGAUCACUAAAACCGAACCAAAACAAAAGAAUUCGGUUCGGUUCGGUUCGGUUUUUUCAAUUCGGUUUGGUUUUUUCGUUCGGUUUGGUUUUUUCGGUUUCGGUUCGAUUUGGUUUUCGGUUUUUUUCGGUUUUCGGUUUUUGAACCCACCCCUACUAUUGAUCGUGAGCCUUUAGAGGACUUGUACAAGCAGCCAACGGAGAAGAAACCACCACAAAAUCUCUACAAGCCACCCCCACAAGCCUCCUUCACCCAAUUAAUUACUGCAUGCAUGCAUGCUAACCUAGCUAUGUUAAUACAUAUGAACAUGUAUAAAAAUAAGAGCUGCAAGUGAUGCAAUAUUAUGCUUUUAUAAGCUUUACUUUAAUAGCAUUACUAUUAAUCUACUAUACUACCCAGGACCAGUCUUGAAUUUUUUGGUGACCAGCGCAAAACCUCAAAAUGUGCCUUUUUUUAAUACGGAAACAUAUGUUUAAAAAAAAAAUAUUAACGAGGGCUGGAACACGGUCGAAGCUUGGGGAGGGGGGGCUAGGCUCUCACGCCCAAAUUAUAUUACUUGAGAAAAUAUACAAUGGGGGCCCAGGGGGGACAUAGUACCUAAACCCUGACAAUCAAAAGUACAAUCAUAUACAACCACUCCUAACAAAGCUUCUUGAAAUUUCAACCUUUAAAAAAUUGUCUUUUGGCAUUUUCCUCUAAAUCACCACUAUUUUCAUGGUCAUGAGACUUGCAGUUGCCAACUCAGGAAACAAUAAAUCACUCACUUGCAGCCAAUGGAAUUGGGAGAAAGGAAAAGGGAGUGAAGGACGACAGGGCAGUGGGGGGAGUAAGGUGGAGAAUUAGGAAAAGGGUGGAUGUAUUUGGAAGUUAGAGUUAAUUGGGGAUCGAGUGGUUCCUGUUAUGUUUUAUUUUUUAUUUUUAUUUGUAAUGCCCAAAACCUGGGCCCUUUUUUCAUCUUUUGUCAAACUUGGGCUCUUCCCCUCCAGCCCCUAUUUGGGCUUUGGACAUUUUUUUAAGGUGCCCCUUUCAAUUUUGGGUCCUGGACAAUUGCUCUGGUGGCAUUGGGUUUGGGCCGGGCCUGAUACUACCACUACUAGUAGCUUACUAGUGUUCAUGCUCGUUUUCUAUUAGUAAGGCCUGGUUUGGGGUUUCCCAUACCAACUUUAUAUGUACUCAGUUUCAAGUAGCUUUUAAUAAAAGGAAAACUAAUGAAAAGUUCAAAAAAACUUCUCUUUUAACGUAAAGCCCUUUUUAAAGGUCUAGUGAAUAGUGUCAGUUAAAGGUAAAAAUGUAAUUUUUUGUUAAAAGUGAACAGUACCAGGAGUGUUUUGUUAAAACUCUUUUUAAUAAAUGCAUAUGUUGUUGAGAGUGUUAAUCUUAUGUAGAAAAUUGUUUCAGUUAGUUUUAUGGUAGCUGUUCAAACUCUAAUAUAGUAUUAAAUCCUCUUUCAAUCAUUACCAAACAGUUUUGGAUUAAUUGGACGCGAUAAUAAUACUUCCUAGAGACUAUAACCUUAAAGAUUUAUCGUUAAGGUAAACUAUUUAAUAUUUCGAUUAGUAAUGCUAUUCAUAUCAUAUUUUUAUACCACAUUUAUAUACUACCUUAGGUGAUAUCUGAUGUAGACAACCACAUCAUUUGAAAAAUUUGCAAAACUCAAGCAAAUGAAUAAGAAAGACUCUUCGUAUACCACAAUCAUCAUUUAAUUAGCUAGUUUUUCUUAAUUAUUAGUUUAUUAAAUAAUGAACCAAAUUUAAAAAUCUGAUUAAUUCAAAUGAUGUGGUUGUCCACAUCAAAUGCCACCUAAGAUGGUAUGAAAAUAUAGUACAAAAACAUAGUAUGAAUAACAUUACUCUAUUUUGUUCAAAUAUGAACUAAUACUGGUAAAUCUUCCUUGAGCAAGACUUGAGAUUGACCAAUGAAAAUUAAGCGUGCCAAUAAAGAACGGAUUUCCGCUCCGUUGUUGCCAAUAAGCAAGUUGAGAUUCUAUUUGGCGAUCCAUGUGGAAGACUUUUGUUAGUGAUAAUUUUUCAUGAUUCGACUAAUUAGAGAAUAAGAGAUUAUAUUCAUGUACUCUAAAUUACUUUUUCCUCCCUUUUUAAUUUUUUAGUACUUUUAUAUCAAGUGUUAGUGAUGUGCCAAAAAUAUAUUAAAAAAAUAAAAAGAUAUGAAGAAGUAAUUUAUGAUAUAUGAAUAUAAUCUCUCAAUUAAAUUUGAAACCGAACUAACCAAACACAUUUCAAUUCCGGUUUUUAUGGGGGUUGGGGGAUGAGCUAGAAUUGAGUUCCAUUGCUUUCGAUAUAUAGGCCCAUGAUCAUUGUGCUUUAAGCCCAGAAAAUACUGCCCAUGUUAUUCCAAUGCCACCAUGCCAAUCAACUGUGAAACUUUUUUUAUUUUUUAUUUUUUAUACAACAAUGUAUUUACAUUGAGAGGUGGAGGAAUAAACUGGAAUUAAACUCUCAUCUUCGAGUAUCUAACCUAAGUAAACUUGCAACUAAUAUUUAAUUUAAUUAAUUAAUCAUAUCCUCUAAUUUUUUUUCUAAAUAAAAAUGUUGUACAAUUUGUGGAAACUUCGAAAUAUGUUGUACUCAUAAAUUAAUUAGGAAUGUGAUUGAGUAAAUUCUUAUGGGAUUCUAGAGUAUCUUUUAGAUAGUGUCCUAGUUGUAAUGUAUUAUUUGAAAGGCUAGGAUUCUGCCUUCCUUACUACUAUAAGUAAAAGUACAAUGAAAUGAGCUAACACACACACACUACGGAAUUCAUCAAUUAUCUUUUCUCUCUCUUGUCACCGACCUAGCUUUCUCUAUAAUUCCUCAGUAAAGUAGGCCUGCAACAAAAUCAACAUAAUAAGUUAGGGUCUGUUUGGUAUCAUAUUUGAAAUUUUUUAUCAUUUCUCAAAACAUUUUUAAGAACAUUUCUUGAAAACAAUUUUCUUUAAGACUAAAAAACUUGAUUGGUUUGCGAUUUAAAAUUUUUAAAACUUACGACUUAAACUAGACAAAAUGAUCUAAAAAGAAGGGGUCGCAGGAGGGAGAAAGAGGAGAGAGGAGGAAAGAAAGUAAGAGAUGAUUGAAGGAAAGAGAAAUAAGAGAGAUGAUCGGAGGAGAUAAAGAGAAAGAGGAGUGAGAGAAAGAACCGAGAUAAUGAAGAGAGUGGAUUGAAGGAGAGACGAAAAAGGUAAAAAAAAAAGAAGGGAGAAAGAAGAAAAGAGAGAGAUAGAUUUGGAGUGAGAGGGGAUGAGGGAAAGAAAAGAAAUGAGUGAUUUUAAGUUUAAAAACUCUAAAACUCACUUUUUAUGUUUUUAGAUAAUAGACUAUAUUUUUGAGUUAGUCUUGAAUUCAGUUUUUGAAAAUAGUCCUACCUAAAAAGUUUUUAAGGCAUAAAACUUGAAAAAUAUUUUUGAGUCCAAUAGGUUGGAUUCAAAUAAAGUACCAAACAAGCCCUUAAUUUUUCAGAAUAGAAAACCUCAAAUAUCGGAAAUUGUUAAACAUAUUUGUUGACACGCCCCGAUCCAAGAAUCAAGGCGUGCUGGCCGUCACAUGAGCGUGACGUAACCAAAAGUGUGAUGCGGAAGCAAAAGAUAUGAGAA